AGUGAACGCUGGCGGUAGGCCUAACACAUGCAAGUCGAACGGCAGCACAGUAAGAGCUUGCUCUUACGGGUGGCGAGUGGCGGACGGGUGAGGAAUACAUCGGAAUCUACUUUUUCGUGGGGGAUAACGUAGGGAAACUUACGCUAAUACCGCAUACGACCUACGGGUGAAAGCAGGGGAUCUUCGGACCUUGCGCGAUUGAAUGAGCCGAUGUCGGAUUAGCUAGUUGGCGGGGUAAAGGCCCACCAAGGCGACGAUCCGUAGCUGGUCUGAGAGGAUGAUCAGCCACACUGGAACUGAGACACGGGCCAGACUCCUACGGGAGGCAGCAGUGGGGAAUAUUGGACAAUGGGCGCAAGCCUGAUCCAGCCAUACCGCGUGGGUGAAGAAGGCCUACGGGUUGUAAAGCCCUUUUGUUGGGAAAGAAAAGCAGCAGGUUAAUACCCCGCUGUUCUGACGGGACCCAAAGAAUAAGCACCGGCUAACUUCGU
Molecule: ribosomal RNA, 491 nt
Filed under: uncultured bacterium
Lineage: Bacteria
Description: partial 16S ribosomal RNA
Rfam family: Bacterial small subunit ribosomal RNA
Source: RNAcentral